GUGCUCACUUUGGCAGCACAUAUCCCCAAAUUGGAACAAUACGGAGAAGAUUAGCGUGGCCCCUGCUUAAGGAUGACACACAAAUUCGUGAGGCGUUCUGCACUUUG
Small nuclear RNA from Mustela putorius furo (domestic ferret), 107 nucleotides. NCBI's taxonomy places the organism in Eukaryota, Metazoa, Chordata, Mammalia, Carnivora, Mustelidae. The record is from Ensembl.